This is a long non-coding RNA of Rhododendron vialii, 1352 nucleotides long. RefSeq lists it as uncharacterized. NCBI's taxonomy places the organism in Eukaryota, Viridiplantae, Streptophyta, Magnoliopsida, Ericales, Ericaceae. The transcript has 3 exons. The record is from RefSeq and is a predicted model, not a curated record.
UUUAUUAAAAUGAUUUUAAAAAAUAUCAAGUAAAUCGAAUGCCUAAUGGUAUUUGAUCAGAGAAGAUAUACACCGAAAAAAAAUGAUAGAAAGUUAGGUGCGCACACUUGAUUACAACCCGGAAGUUUUUUUUUCUUUCUCAAAAGGCCUUUUUGGUCGUAGUCCGUUUUGAUCAAAAGUCGACCUCGCCGCCGAUCCGAGUUCCGAUCACUGAGUCAGCCGGUAGAGGUGUGUCAGCGACGCAGCGUGUCUGAUUUGGCUAUCAGAAAUAGACCCACAUCUUAAGCCUCAGAGCGUCCGAUUUCGCGGCCAAGAAUGUGAGAAGAAGUAACACCUUAGGAAGAAAAGGAGACACAGAUCAUAGUAGUACAACAUGAGGUGGAUGGGAGAAGAUUGUGCAGUGGUUAAACAAAUUCUGGAAUCAUAUAGGGCAUCCGGUUAGCAAGUGAAUAUCCGAAAAUCCUCAAUUUUUUUUAGCUUGAACACGACAGUUGAAAGAAGAAUGGAGUGCCGAGUAAUCCUGGGAUUUGGUACUCGUUCAGCAAAUACUUGGGGUUGCCUUAUAUCAUCGGAAGAUCCAAGAGGGCAGCGUUGAUGUACAUCAAGGAAAGGGUGUUGAGCAAAAUCAAAGGGUGGAAAGGGGAACUCCUGAAUCCUGCUGGAAAAGAGGUUUUAACCAAAUCAGUCCUCUUGGCGCUGCCCACUUGUGCUAUGGCCUGUGUUAAAAUUCGCCUUGGCAUGUUUAAGAUGUCGAAUUCAAAUAUAGCUCAAUUAUUUGGAGUGGAGCUAAGGACACAAGGAAAAUUCACUGUAUUCAGAGCCAAAUCAGGUGCAUUUGAAGGAAGCAGUUGAGCCAAAAAACCAGGGGAUGAUUCAGUCUAAUCAGUGGAGUCCACCAGCCCUGGGCAUCCUUAAGAUUAAAGUUGAUGGAAGCCUUCAAUUCUAUGAUUGGUGAAGGGGGAGUUGGAGUUGCAAUGAGAGAUGCGUUGGGCCGGUAAUUUGCGAAGAGCAGAAGCUUUUCAAUUGGCAAUGCUACAGCGGUGGACACGGUUGAAGCUUUGGGGUUUCAAUUUUGUGGUUUUGAUGGCAAAGAACUAUGGCAGGAUGGAGUGUAUUUUGGAAGGGUAUGCUCACAGCAUUGCUCAGAUGCUGCGAGGAAGGAUUAGUGCCAAGGCCCGCUUGCGAGUGACCAUCGGAGAAUGUCUAAUUUAGUUCAUUUUCUUCAGUGUUGUUCUUUUUAUUUUGUUUCUCGCAAUUGUAACAGGGUAACUCAUGAAUCAUGAGAUAGCUAAAUAUGCCCUAUCCGCUGAGACUUCUAUGUCAUGGCAAGGAGAUUUCCCAAGCUGGAUUCA